RNAcentral lists this ribosomal RNA (200 nucleotides) under uncultured bacterium. RNAcentral's name for it is "partial 16S ribosomal RNA". It matches the Rfam family "Bacterial small subunit ribosomal RNA", at positions 28 to 256 of the family's 1533-position model. The record is from RNAcentral.
GACGAACGCUGGCGGCGUGCUUAACACAUGCAAGUCGAACGAACUCUUCGGAGUUAGUGGCGCACGGGUGCGUAACGCGUGGGAAUCUGCCCUUGGGUACGGAAUAACUCAGAGAAAUUUGUGCUAAUACCGUAUAAUGUCUUCGGACCAAAGAUUUAUCGCCCAAGGAUGAGCCCGCGUAAGAUUAGCUUGUUGGUGAG